CCUACGGGCGGCAGCAGUGGGGAAUAUUGCACAAUGGGGGAAACCCUGAUGCAGCGACGCCGCGUGAGUGAAGAAGUAAUUCGUUAUGUAAAGCUCUAUCAGCAGGGAAGAAAAUGACGGUACCUGAGUAAGAAGCCCCGGCUAACUACGUGCCAGCAGCCGCGGUAAUACGUAGGGGGCAAGCGUUAUCCGGAUUUACUGGGUGGAAAGGGAGCGUAGACGGCAGUGCAAGUCUGGAGUGAAAGGCGGGGGCUCAACCCCCGGACUGCUCUGGAAACUGUACGGCUGGAGUGCAGGAGAGGUAAGUGGAAUUCCUAGGGUAGCGGUGAAAUGCGUAGAUAUUAGGAGGAACACCAGUGGCGAAGGCGGCUUACUGGACUGUAACGGACGUUGAGGCUCGAAAGCGUGGGGAGCAAACAGGAUUAGAUACCCCUGUAGUC
Molecule: ribosomal RNA, 440 nt
Filed under: uncultured bacterium
Lineage: Bacteria
Description: partial 16S ribosomal RNA
Rfam family: Bacterial small subunit ribosomal RNA
Source: RNAcentral